This 239-nucleotide ribosomal RNA is filed under the name uncultured soil bacterium. RNAcentral describes it as "partial 16S ribosomal RNA". It matches the Rfam family "Bacterial small subunit ribosomal RNA", at positions 26 to 264 of the family's 1533-position model. The record is from RNAcentral.
AGAUUGAACGCUGGCGGCAGGCCUAACACAUGCAAGUCGAGCGGCAGCACGGGUACUUGUACCUGGUGGCGAGCGGCGGACGGGUGAGUAAUGCCUAGGAAUCUGCCUGGUAGUGGGGGAUAACGCUCGGAAACGGACGCUAAUACCGCAUACGUCCUACGGGAGAAAGCGAGGGGACCUUCGGGCCUUGCGCUAUCAGAUGAGCCUAGGUCGGAUUAGCUAGUUGGUGAGGUAAUGGC